AGGGUCCUAUGUUGUACGUGUAACAACUUUUCAUUUUGAGCCAACACUUCGACCUUGGGAGUUUUCUGUUUCGCUAAUAAUAGCAUGCCUCAUACUUAUGUAAUAACUUAGAGGAAGUUAGAAUUAACGAACACGACACCCACCUGCUAUUGCAGGUUCAAAAUAAGGUAUUUUUACGGCAAACACGGGACUCUU
Molecule: non-coding RNA, 195 nt
Filed under: Salipaludibacillus neizhouensis
Lineage: Bacteria; Bacillati; Bacillota; Bacilli; Caryophanales; Bacillaceae
Description: Bacillus neizhouensis 6S / SsrS RNA
Rfam family: 6S / SsrS RNA
About the family: E. coli 6S RNA was the first non coding RNA to be sequenced, but its function was unknown until recently. It consists of 184 nucleotides that fold into an extended hairpin structure with a large single-stranded internal bulge. The 6S RNA specifically associates with RNA polymerase holoenzyme containing the sigma70 specificity factor.
Source: Rfam by way of RNAcentral